GUGAGGAAUAUUGGUCAAUGGGCGAGAGCCUGAACCAGCCAAGUCGCGUGAAGGAUGAAGGUUUUAUGAAUUGUAAACUUCUUUUGCAGGGGAAUAAAGUACGGUACGUGUACCGUUUUGUAUGUACUGUACGAAUAAGGAUCGGCUAACUCCGUGCCAGCAGCCGCGGUAAUACGGAGGAUCCGAGCGUUAUCCGGAUUUAUUGGGUUUAAAGGGUGCGUAGGUGGAUUGAUAAGUCAGCGGUGAAAGUUUGCAGCUUAACUGUAAAAUUGCCGUUGAAACUGUCGGUCUUGAGUGCAAAUGAGGUAGGCGGAAUGUGUUGUGUAGCGGUGAAAUGCUUAGAUAUAACACAGAACUCCGAUUGCGAAGGCAGCUUACUGGGAUGCAACUGACACUGAUGCACGAAAGCGUGGGUAUCAAACAGGAUUAGAAACCCGAGUAGUCC
This 445-nucleotide ribosomal RNA is filed under the name uncultured bacterium. RNAcentral describes it as "partial 16S ribosomal RNA". It matches the Rfam family "Bacterial small subunit ribosomal RNA", at positions 354 to 796 of the family's 1533-position model. The record is from RNAcentral.